RNAcentral lists this long non-coding RNA (515 nucleotides) under Pan troglodytes (chimpanzee). RNAcentral describes it as "lincRNA". The record is from RNAcentral. Lineage: Eukaryota; Metazoa; Chordata; Mammalia; Primates; Hominidae.
GAAGGCUGAGGUGUGCGCCUUUUUUUUUUUUUCCUUCUUAGUCGUGUGUACAUCAUUGGGAAUGGAGGGAAAUAAAUGACUGGAUGGUCGCUGCUUUUUGAGUUUCAAAUUGACAUUCUAGACAAGCGGUGCCUGAGCCCGUGCCUGUCUUCAGAUCUUCACAGCACAGUUCCUGGGAAGGUGGAGCCACCAGCCUCUCCCUGAAUAACUGGGAGAUGAAACAGGAAGCUCUAUGACACACUUGAUCGAAUAUGACAGACACCGAAAAUCACGACUCAGCCCCCUCCAGCACCUCUACCUGUUGCCCGCCGAUCACAGCCGGAAUGCAGCUGAAAGAUUCCCUGGGGCCUGGUUCCAACCGCCCACUGUGGACUCUGAGGCCUCUGCAUUUGCGGGUGGUCUGCCUGUGAUAUUUUGGUCAUGGGCUGGUCUGGUCGGUUUCCCAUUUGUCUGGCCAGUCUCUAUGUGUCUUAAUCCCUUGUCCUUCAUUAAAAGCAAAACUAAAGAAAACAGAA